GCCGCGGUAGUAUAGCCCGGUCAAGUGUAAUGCGCCGAUAGUAUGCGGGCCUUUCGAGCCCGUGACCCGGGUUCAAAUCCCGGCCGCG
This 88-nucleotide transfer RNA is filed under the name Sulfolobus acidocaldarius DSM 639. RNAcentral describes it as "tRNA-Glu". It matches the Rfam family "tRNA". From Rfam's summary of the family: Transfer RNA (tRNA) molecules are approximately 80 nucleotides in length. Their secondary structure includes four short double-helical elements and three loops (D, anti-codon, and T loops). The record is from RNAcentral. Lineage: Archaea; Thermoproteati; Thermoproteota; Thermoprotei; Sulfolobales; Sulfolobaceae.